RNAcentral lists this ribosomal RNA (497 nucleotides) under uncultured bacterium. RNAcentral describes it as "partial 16S ribosomal RNA". It matches the Rfam family "Bacterial small subunit ribosomal RNA", at positions 28 to 507 of the family's 1533-position model. The record is from RNAcentral.
GAUGAACGCUGGCGGCGUGCCUAAUACAUGCAAGUCGAGCGAACAGAUGAGGAGCUUGCUCCUCUGACGUUAGCGGCGGACGGGGGAGUAACACGUGGAUAACCUACCUAUAAGACUGGGAUAACUUCGGGAAACCGGAGCUAAUACCGGAUAAUAUAUUGAACCGCAUGGUUCAAUAGUGAAAGACGGUUUUGCUGUCACUUAUAGAUGGAUCCGCGCCGCAUUAGCUAGUUGGUAAGGUAACGGCUUACCAAGGCAACGAUGCGUAGCCGACCUGAGAGGGUGAUCGGCCACACUGGAACUGAGACACGGUCCAGACUCCUACGGGAGGCAGCAGUAGGGAAUCUUCCGCAAUGGGCGAAAGCUUGACGGAGCAACGCCGCGUGAGUGAUGAAGGUCUUCGGAUCGUAAAACUCUGUUAUUAGGGAAGAACAAAUGUGUAAGUAACUAUGCACGUCUUGACGGUACCUAAUCAGAAAGCCACGGCUAACUACGUG